Colossoma macropomum (tambaqui) is the source of this 1034-nucleotide long non-coding RNA. RefSeq lists it as uncharacterized. Lineage: Eukaryota; Metazoa; Chordata; Actinopteri; Characiformes; Serrasalmidae. The record is from RefSeq and is a predicted model, not a curated record. The transcript is spliced from 2 exons.
CAGUCAGAUGUGCAAUGUUUAUUUUAUUUUAGGGGUUUACAGAAGGUUAGUUGUGUUUUUUCCUCAGGACAUUUUUAAACUUUUUUUUUUGUCCUCUGUGGUGUGUGUGCAUUGGUUGGACUGUCCAGUGUUUGGAGCUUACUGCUUCUGCACUGACGUGGCAGCGAGAGUUCAAAGUCUCGUUCAUGCAGGGACCUGUGGAAAACAUGACUGAGUCUCCUCGCAGAUGAUUUACGGCGAGUUUGGCCCUCGGAGACGCCUCGUACUCUUACACAUAGAGGAGAGCACAGAUGGAAACUAGGCCAAGCGGUGGGAAGCCACACUCAGCUCCCACUUCUCCAGUCCAAACAAACACCAGAGCUGACAGCCUGAGAUUUUUCCUGACGUGAAGCGCCGCCGCGACUGUUUUCUCCGCUCGUAACAAAGAGCACACGUCACUUGGGAGGAGCGAGGCCCUCUAUACGCCUGCAUGCUGAUGACCAUCAGGGCCAUGAAGAUGUAAACAAAGUCAUUCAGAGUGGUUGAGUGGAGAAACGUACACAAUCAGAAUUCUUCACAGAGACGGUGAUGAGAACCAGGCGUCUGUUUUACGACUGCUUUGAGAAGGUUUUGGACUAAAGCGUAUUUUUUUUAAAGACAUUUAUGGUGGAGAGAGUACCCAAAAUACAUUUUAGGCCAAAAUGUUCUCUUGAAAUUUCCAUGAAACGACGUCUCCGAUAUCAGGCAGUGUAUUCAUAAUGAUUUCUGGUUCCCAUCACCAACAUUGUGAACGGUUCUAAUACCAAUAGUCAAAAAAGCGCAGUCCGUCUAAAUGAAUUAUGUAUUAAUACUGGUUCUAUGCUUGCAUACAAAUUAAUAUUAUUGAGGUAGAUGGGUGGGUGCGUCACUUAGGACCUUCAAAAUUUCUGAAAUGGGCCUGAUGGCCAAAGCUGUAAACUGCUACACACUGUGAGUUUUAAAUCAUGGCCAUGGCUCAGCAGAAUCCUACUCACAUCAAAAUACAAAUAAAGCCUCAUAAAGGGUUCUUUCCUGUA